Molecule: ribosomal RNA, 273 nt
Filed under: uncultured bacterium
Lineage: Bacteria
Description: partial 16S ribosomal RNA
Rfam family: Bacterial small subunit ribosomal RNA
Source: RNAcentral
UACGGAGGGUGCAAGCGUUAUUCGGAAUCACUGGGCGUAAAGGGUGCGUAGGCGGUUUGAUAAGUCUGAUGUGAAAUCCUAUGGCUCAACCAUAGAACUGCAUUGGAAACUGUCAGACUAGAAUACUGAAGGGGCAGAUGGAAUUAGUGGUGUAGGGGUAAAAUCCGUAGAUAUCACUAGGAAUACCGAAAGCGAAAGCGAUCUGCUGGGAAGUUAUUGACGCUGAGGCACGAAAGCGUGGGGAGCAAACGGGAUUAGAAACCCUAGUAGUCC